Molecule: non-coding RNA, 114 nt
Organism: Acanthosepion pharaonis
Lineage: Eukaryota; Metazoa; Mollusca; Cephalopoda; Sepiida; Sepiidae
Source: the annotation of a GenBank genome assembly
UUACAGCCAUAUCACAUUGAAACACCAGUUCUCAUAUGAUCACUGAAGUUAAGCAACGUCGAGCCUGGUCAGUACCUGGAUGGAUGACUGCUUGAAAACACCAGGUGAUGUAAG